RNAcentral lists this ribosomal RNA (427 nucleotides) under uncultured bacterium. RNAcentral's name for it is "bacterial SSU rRNA". It matches the Rfam family "Bacterial small subunit ribosomal RNA", at positions 355 to 775 of the family's 1533-position model. The record is from RNAcentral.
UAGGGAAUCUUCGGCAAUGGACGAAAGUCUGACCGAGCAACGCCGCGUGAGUGAUGAAGGUGUUCGGAUCGUAAAACUCUGUUGCCAGGGAAGAAUGGCCAGGAGAGUAACUGCUCUUGGUUUGACGGUACCUGAGAAGAAAGCCCCGGCUAACUACGUGCCAGCAGCCGCGGUAAUACGUAGGGGGCAAGCGUUGUCCGGAAUUAUUGGGCGUAAAGCGCGCGCAGGCGGUUGUUUAAGUCUGGUGUAUAAACCAAGGGCUCAACCUUUGGACGCAUUGGAAACUGGGCAACUGGAGUGUAGGAGAGGAAAGUGGAAUUCCACGUGUAGCGGUGAAAUGCGUAGAGAUGUGGAGGAACACCAGUGGCGAAGGCGACUUUCUGGCCUAUAACUGACGCUGAGGCGCGAAAGCGUGGGGAGCAAACAG